CAAAUUUGAUCAAAUGCAAAUUUAAACGGUUCAAACAUGUGAAAUUUUGGUUCUACUGUAUUCUCCUGGUCGCUACGAGUACACAGGAAAAAGAAUCAAUGAAUUUGGAUAUACAGACCAAGAGAUAUAGCUAAACGAAAAAUUGGUGAAAAUCUGUCUAAAACAUGAUUUUGAACUGUGGUUACUAUAGCAUAGCGCCAUGUGUCACAUCCAGAUUGGCUGAGAUGUAGCUGUGCGCGCGUGGUCACCGAAGCAGGGGGAAAACGGUGACGGCUUCGGGCGUGGGUGGCGGCGCUCCUCCGGUAGCUCUCCAGUGAAGGUGAGGUGAAGGGCGGAUGCGGCUUGCGAUGACGGAGACGAUGGUAGCUUCAACGGAGAUGGGAGCGUCCUCUGCUGGCGCGCCGUCGCUCGGUGGUGCUGGCGAUUUUGGGCAUGGUCGGGAGCUCGGUAUCCCGUGUUCCUGAGAAGAUCAGAGGUUGAGGGAAAUUUAAAAGACCACGAAUAAUACUCAGGAAGGAUUAGCGAGGAACCGAGGCUCACAGAGGCAACGGAAUCGUUCCGGGAAGCUCCGGCAAGGGCAAUACUCCGGCGAGAUCGGGAUUUGUUGAAGAGCUCGAUGUGGUGCGGUCCUGGGCAAAAUCAAAGCGGAGGGAGUGCAUGAGGUUUCCUCGCAGACUAUGGAGUGCUCGGAGAGGGGCCGGACUUACUGGAGUGCCCGAAAUCGUUCGUAUCGCCGGAGUCGGCAGAGCUUGGCGAGGUCCUUACUCUCGAUUCCUAGGGGAAAACAAAGUGGCGCCUGCGAGGACUGAUCGAGGGAUUCGAGAGGAACCACACGGCGGCCUCAGAUUGGAAAAGGAGCAAGGGGUCGCGUGAAUCACGCGGGGUUUGGUGCGGCAGUGGCGGCGCUGUCGUCCACGAACAGGAGACCGAUCGGGAGGCGGAACGAGGCGGUGGGGUCCGCUGUCGUGGAAUAGAGAGAAAGAAAGAAAAAAAC
RNAcentral lists this long non-coding RNA (994 nucleotides) under Triticum aestivum (bread wheat). RNAcentral describes it as "long non-coding RNA (TAES_LNC017961)". Lineage: Eukaryota; Viridiplantae; Streptophyta; Magnoliopsida; Poales; Poaceae. The record is from RNAcentral.